GGAUGUGAGGGCGAUCUGGCUGCGACAUCUGUCACCCCAUUGAUCGCCAGGGUUGAUUCGGCUGAUCUGGCUGGCUAGGCGGGUGUCCCCCUCUUCCCUCACCGAUCCAUGUGUGUCCCUCCCGAAGCUGCGCGCUCGGUCGAAGAGGGCACUUUGGGGCUCUGAGGUGGGACAGAGAGAGGUGUAUGGUAAGAGAGGACCCCACCCCAACUCCAAAAGCAGUCACCUCCUCUGCUGUCCCAGA
Unclassified non-coding RNA from Myotis lucifugus (little brown bat), 244 nucleotides. Its record names the gene 7SK. It matches the Rfam family "7SK RNA". From Rfam's summary of the family: 7SK was discovered as an abundant small nuclear RNA in the mid-70s but a possible function has only recently been suggested. The record is from Ensembl. Lineage: Eukaryota; Metazoa; Chordata; Mammalia; Chiroptera; Vespertilionidae.